Corylus avellana is the source of this 115-nucleotide small nucleolar RNA. RefSeq annotates it as small nucleolar RNA Z103. Lineage: Eukaryota; Viridiplantae; Streptophyta; Magnoliopsida; Fagales; Betulaceae. The record is from RefSeq and is a predicted model, not a curated record.
AAAGAAGUGAUGAUUAUUUCCUCAAAUGAUCGACGCUGAUUAAACUGGGCGAUUUUUUUUUUUUUUUUUUUUUUCUUUCUCUUUUGAGAAACCAAGCCAAGUGUUUCUGUUCCUU